GACGAACGCUGGCGGCGUGCUUAACACAUGCAAGUCGAACGGAAAGGCCCUGCUUUGUGGGGUGCUCGAGUGGCGAACGGGUGAGUAACACGUGAGUUACCUGCCCUUGACUUUGGGAUAACUUCAGGAAACUGGGGCUAAUACCGGAUAGGAGCUCCUGCUGCAUGGUGGGGGUUGGAAAGUUUCGGCGGUUGGGGAUGGACUCGCGGCUUAUCAGCUUGUUGGUGGGGUAGUGGCUUACCAAGGCUUUGACGGGUAGCCGGCCUGAGAGGGUGACCGGCCACAUUGGGACUGAGAUACGGCCCAGACUCCUACGGGAGGCAGCAGUGGGGAAUAUUGCACAAUGGGCGGAAGCCUGAUGCAGCAACGCCGCGUGCGGGAUGACGGCCUUCGGGUUGUAAACCGCUUUCGCCUGUGACGAAGCGUGAGUGACGGUAAUGGGUAAAGAAGCACCGGCUAACUACGUG
Molecule: ribosomal RNA, 467 nt
Filed under: uncultured bacterium
Lineage: Bacteria
Description: partial 16S ribosomal RNA
Rfam family: Bacterial small subunit ribosomal RNA
Source: RNAcentral